This 548-nucleotide ribosomal RNA is filed under the name Sutcliffiella horikoshii. Its description in RNAcentral is "bacterial SSU rRNA". It matches the Rfam family "Bacterial small subunit ribosomal RNA", at positions 1 to 529 of the family's 1533-position model. Lineage: Bacteria; Bacillati; Bacillota; Bacilli; Caryophanales; Bacillaceae. The record is from RNAcentral.
UUUAUUGGAGAGUUUGAUCCUGGCUCAGGACGAACGCUGGCGGCGUGCCUAAUACAUGCAAGUCGAGCGGACCUUUUAAAAGCUUGCUUUUGAAAGGUCAGCGGCGGACGGGUGAGUAACACGUGGGCAACCUGCCUGUAAGACUGGGAUAACUUCGGGAAACCGGAGCUAAUACCGGAUAAUAUAAGGAACCUCCUGGUUCUUUAUUGAAAGAUGGUUUCGGCUAUCACUUACAGAUGGGCCCGCGGCGCAUUAGCUAGUUGGUGAGAUAACGGCUCACCAAGGCGACGAUGCGUAGCCGACCUGAGAGGGUGAUCGGCCACACUGGGACUGAGACACGGCCCAGACUCCUACGGGAGGCAGCAGUAGGGAAUCUUCCACAAUGGACGAAAGUCUGAUGGAGCAACGCCGCGUGAGCGAUGAAGGCCUUCGGGUCGUAAAGCUCUGUUGUUAGGGAAGAACAAGUGCGAGAGUAACUGCUCGCACCUUGACGGUACCUAACCAGAAAGCCACGGCUAACUACGUGCCAGCAGCCGCGGUAAUACGUA